GAACUUGCGAGCCACUGUUUCCCCUCUCCUACUCCUCUCGAUCCGUAGCAUCCCCUUGAGACCGACCUCCGGGGCAGAAGCUCCGGUGGGAGAACUCCUCGAAAGGGCUCGGAGGACUGAAGGCUCGAUGUCGUAAGGGACAUCGACGGUGAGGGCCGCCUGGGAAACUCCUACGUCCGUGCCAGCAGCAAGGGAAAGAAAGAGGGAAAUCCUGAAAGAUCGGGAGAGAUUGCGAAUAAACCCUCGAAAGCUGAAUAAACGAAGCAAGAAGAGGAAGGAACAACAGCGAUGACAAGAGAGGUUUUGGAACCAACCAAAAUUGGCCCGACGUAGGCAGGGAGCCGACGGAGGUGGCGAAGAUUGAUGCAAGGAAUGCUUAGGGUUGAAAAGGGCGCCGAUGGGCGGCAGAACUCUCGGGUAGAAGAAAGGCGCCGUCUGGACUCUCAGGCAAAAUGAAGUCCCUGGAGGGAAGGAGGGGGUUUAAAUAAGCGACGGGGCCUGGCACAGUCAUGGUGGCGGAUAUCCCUAGGCCGACCAAUGCCCGCCACGUGUCCCACUCACCUUGGCAUAUGGUUGACUGUUGACGGGAUCAUUAUGGUGUGGUGUUUGGGACUGCGCUCCA
This 622-nucleotide long non-coding RNA is filed under the name Elaeis guineensis (African oil palm). RNAcentral describes it as "long non-coding RNA (EGUI_LNC044708)". Lineage: Eukaryota; Viridiplantae; Streptophyta; Magnoliopsida; Arecales; Arecaceae. The record is from RNAcentral.